This is a long non-coding RNA of Callithrix jacchus (white-tufted-ear marmoset), 471 nucleotides long. RefSeq lists it as uncharacterized. Lineage: Eukaryota; Metazoa; Chordata; Mammalia; Primates; Cebidae. The record is from RefSeq and is a predicted model, not a curated record.
AUUCUAAAAGGCCAUUCACUUCCAGCUCUCUUCAGACCCAGUGUGACCUCAUCUGGAAUUCAUUCAGACCCAGCGUGACCUCAUCAGGCAAAAGAGAAACUCAAGUGCUGAAAAUGAAUGUUAGCCUACAACUUCCACCCAAAACCACUAACAGUGGAGUCCUGACCAAGAAGAUGAAGCCCUAGAAUUUCAUCUCUCAUAAGAAUUCCUUGAAAUACGUAUCUCAACAAAGAAAACAUUUUCACAUGCAUUGCAUGGAUAAAACAUCAGAGAGAAACAUUUUUCUUUGAACAAAUAAAGAGUUGGGAGAAGCUGGAGUCCCCAUUGAAAAAGGCAAUUCGAGACUUAAGAAGGCUGGACUUGAAACCAAAACCCAAGAACCAGUUGGGUCAAAAAUCAAAUAGUCAUUCGUAACUGUCAAAACUUCAUCUGCAGGUAAUUGACUGUUUGCAGAUAAAGGGGAAUUUAUAA